CUACCGAACGUUGGAAACAGCGGUUAGGAGCUUACACCCACCCGUGUUUACAUACUAUUGUUGCUUUGGCGGGCCGUGGCCUCCACUGCGGGCUCUGCUCGUGUGUGCCCGCCAGAGAACCAAACUCUGAAUGUUAGUGAUGUCUGAGUACUAUCUAAUAGUUAAAACUUUCAACAACGGAUCUCUUGGUUCUGGCAUCGAUGAAGAACGCAGCGAAAUGCGAUAAGUAAUGUGAAUUGCAGAAUUCAGUGAAUCAUCGAAUCUUUGAACGCACAUUGCGCCCUGUGGUAUUCCGCAGGGCAUGCCUGUUCGAGCGUCAUUUAACCACUCACGCCUAGCGUGGUAUUGGGGCACGCGGUCUCCGCGGCCCUCAAAAUUAGUGGCGGCGCCGGUGGGCUCUAAGCGUAGUACAUACUCCCGCUAUAGAGUUCCCCCGGUGGCUCGCCAGAACCCCCAAUUUUUACAGGUUGACCUCGGAUCAGGUAGGGAUACCCGCUGAACUUAAGCAUAU
This 511-nucleotide ribosomal RNA is filed under the name Phialocephala cf. fortinii. RNAcentral describes it as "eukaryotic LSU rRNA". The stretch from base 166 to 319 matches the Rfam family "5.8S ribosomal RNA". The record is from RNAcentral. Lineage: Eukaryota; Fungi; Ascomycota; Leotiomycetes; Helotiales; Mollisiaceae.